This 734-nucleotide ribosomal RNA is filed under the name uncultured Lachnospiraceae bacterium. Its description in RNAcentral is "bacterial SSU rRNA". It matches the Rfam family "Bacterial small subunit ribosomal RNA", at positions 28 to 763 of the family's 1533-position model. The record is from RNAcentral. Lineage: Bacteria; Bacillati; Bacillota; Clostridia; Lachnospirales; Lachnospiraceae.
GAUGAACGCUGGCGGCGUGCUUAACACAUGCAAGUCGAACGGGAAUUAUUUUAUUGAAACUUCGGUUGAUAUGAUUUAAUUCUAGUGGCGGACGGGUGAGUAACGCGUGGGUAACCUGCCUUAUACAGGGGGAUAACAGUCAGAAAUGACUGCUAAUACCGCAUAAGCGCACAGAGCUGCAUGGCUCGGUGUGAAAAACUCCGGUGGUAUAAGAUGGACCCGCGUUGGAUUAGCUAGUUGGUGAGGUAACGGCCCACCAAGGCGACGAUCCAUAGCCGGCCUGAGAGGGUGAACGGCCACAUUGGGACUGAGACACGGCCCAGACUCCUACGGGAGGCAGCAGUGGGGAAUAUUGCACAAUGGGGGAAACCCUGAUGCAGCGACGCCGCGUGAAGGAAGAAGUAUCUCGGUAUGUAAACUUCUAUCAGCAGGGAAGAAAAUGACGGUACCUGACUAAGAAGCCCCGGCUAACUACGUGCCAGCAGCCGCGGUAAUACGUAGGGGGCAAGCGUUAUCCGGAUUUACUGGGUGUAAAGGGAGCGUAGACGGAUGGACAAGUCUGAUGUGAAAGGCUGGGGCUCAACCCCGGGACUGCAUUGGAAACUGCCCGUCUUGAGUGCCGGAGAGGUAAGCGGAAUUCCUAGUGUAGCGGUGAAAUGCGUAGAUAUUAGGAGGAACACCAGUGGCGAAGGCGGCUUACUGGACGGUAACUGACGUUGAGGCUCGAAAGCGUG